CCUACGGGUGGCAGCAGUGAGGAAUAUUGGUCAAUGGCCGGAAGGCUGAACCAGCCAAGCCGCGUGAGGGAGGAAGGCGCAGAGCGUCGCAGACCUCUUUUGCCGGGGGACAAAAGGCCGGACUCGUCCGGUCCUGAGGGUACCCGGAGAAAAAGCAUCGGCAAACUCCGUGCCAGCAGCCGCGGUAGUACGGAGGAUGCGAGCGUUAUCCGGAUUCAUUGGGUUUAAAGGGUGCGCGGGGGGGCCUUUAAGCCGGCGGUGAAAUCGCGGGGCUCAACCCCGCCGAGCCGUCGGAACUGGGGGGCGUGAGUGCGGCGGAGGGAGGCGGAAUGCGAGGUGUAGCGGUGAAAUGCAUAGAUAUCGCGCAGAACCCCGAUGGCGAAGGCAGCGGGCCGUGCCGCGACUGACGCUGAGGCACGAAAGCGCGGGGAUCGAACAGGAUUAGAUACCCCAGUAGUC
RNAcentral lists this ribosomal RNA (459 nucleotides) under uncultured bacterium. Its description in RNAcentral is "partial 16S ribosomal RNA". It matches the Rfam family "Bacterial small subunit ribosomal RNA", at positions 338 to 795 of the family's 1533-position model. The record is from RNAcentral.